RNAcentral lists this ribosomal RNA (429 nucleotides) under Actinomycetes bacterium. RNAcentral describes it as "Actinobacteria bacterium partial 16S ribosomal RNA". It matches the Rfam family "Bacterial small subunit ribosomal RNA", at positions 355 to 776 of the family's 1533-position model. The record is from RNAcentral. Lineage: Bacteria; Bacillati; Actinomycetota; Actinomycetes.
UAGGGAAUCUUCCGCAAUGGGCGAAAGCCUGACGGAGCAACGCCGCGUGAGUGAUGAAGGUCUUUGGAUCGUAAAACUCUGUUAUUAGGGAAGAACAAAUGUGUAAGUAACUAUGCACGUCUUGACGGUACCUAAUCAGAAAGCCACGGCUAACUACGCGCCAGCAGCCGCGGUAAUACGUAGGUUGCCAGCGUUAUCCGGAAUUAUUGGGCGUAAAGCGCGAGUAGGCGGUUUUUUAAGUCUGAUGUGAAAGCCCACGGCUCAACCGUGAAGGGUCAUUGGAAACGGGAAAACUUGAGUGCAGAAGAGGAAAGUGGAAUUCCAUGUGUAGCGGUGAAAUGCGCAGAGAUAUGGAGGAACACCAGUGGCGAAGGCGACUUUCUGGUCUGUAACUGACGCUGAUGUGCGAAAGCGUGGGGAUCAAACAGG